AUACGGAGGGUGCAAGCGUUACUCGGAAUCACUGGGCGUAAAGCGCGCGCAGGCGGGCUGAUAAGUUGGAUGUGAAAGCCUACGGCUCAACCGUAGAACUGCAUCCAAAACUGUCAGUCUAGAGUGUGGGAGAGGAAGAUGGAAUUAGUUGUGUAGGGGUAAAAUCCGUAGAGAUAACUAGGAAUACCAAAAGCGAAGGCAAUCUUCUGGAACACUACUGACGCUGAGGCGCGAAGGCGUGGGGAGCAAACAGGAUUAGAAACCCGGGUAGUCC
Molecule: ribosomal RNA, 274 nt
Filed under: uncultured bacterium
Lineage: Bacteria
Description: partial 16S ribosomal RNA
Rfam family: Bacterial small subunit ribosomal RNA
Source: RNAcentral